This is a non-coding RNA of Lentinula raphanica, 73 nucleotides long. NCBI's taxonomy places the organism in Eukaryota, Fungi, Basidiomycota, Agaricomycetes, Agaricales, Omphalotaceae. The record is from the annotation of a GenBank genome assembly.
GCCCCCGUUGUCUAAUGGUUAUGACGUCAGACUUCUAAUCUGGAGGUUGCGGGUUCGAGUCCCGCCGGGGUUA